Molecule: ribosomal RNA, 230 nt
Filed under: uncultured bacterium
Lineage: Bacteria
Description: partial 16S ribosomal RNA
Rfam family: Bacterial small subunit ribosomal RNA
Source: RNAcentral
UAAAGCGUGCGCAGGCGGUUUGUAAGUCUGAUGUGAAAUCCCCGGGCUCAACCUGGGAAUUGCAUUGGAGACUGCAAGGCUAGAAUCUGGCAGAGGGGGGUAGAAUUCCACGUGUAGCAGUGAAAUGCGUAGAUAUGUGGAGGAACACCGAUGGCGAAGGCAGCCCCCUGGGUCAAGAUUGACGCUCAUGCACGAAAGCGUGGGGAGCAAACAGGAUUAGAUACCCUAGU